RNAcentral lists this ribosomal RNA (253 nucleotides) under uncultured bacterium. Its description in RNAcentral is "partial 16S ribosomal RNA". It matches the Rfam family "Bacterial small subunit ribosomal RNA", at positions 524 to 776 of the family's 1533-position model. The record is from RNAcentral.
GACGGGGGGUCCUAGCGUUGUUCGGAAUUAUUGGGCGUAAAGCGUGUGCAGGUUGUUUAAAAAGUUAGAUGUGAAAUCCUUGGGCUCAACCCAAGACGUGCAUUUAAAACUGUUAGACUUGAGUAUGGAAGAGGGUCGUGGAAUUCCAGGUGUAGUGGUGAAAUACGUAGAUAUCAGGAGGAACACCGGUGGCGAAGGCGGGUCUCUGGGCAGUAACUGACGCUGAGGAGCGAAAGCGUGGGGAGCGAACAGG